Non-coding RNA from Nemania sp. FL0916, 82 nucleotides. The record is from the annotation of a GenBank genome assembly. NCBI's taxonomy places the organism in Eukaryota, Fungi, Ascomycota, Sordariomycetes, Xylariales, Xylariaceae.
GUAUCAGUGGUUUAGAGGUAAAAUCCAUCGUUGCCAUAUCGCUAGCAUCGAUGGGCCCCGUGUUCGAUUCACGGCUGAUGCA